GUGAGGGGGGCUUAGUGGCAGAGCACAUGUUCAGCGUGCAUGAGGCCCUGGGUUAGAUUCCCAGCAUUCUCC
Non-coding RNA from Heterocephalus glaber (naked mole-rat), 72 nucleotides. The record is from Rfam. Lineage: Eukaryota; Metazoa; Chordata; Mammalia; Rodentia; Bathyergidae.